Molecule: ribosomal RNA, 945 nt
Filed under: Triticum aestivum (bread wheat)
Lineage: Eukaryota; Viridiplantae; Streptophyta; Magnoliopsida; Poales; Poaceae
Description: partial small subunit ribosomal RNA
Source: RNAcentral
AUGGUGUUCUUCACGCUAAUCACCGUUCAGGGUGACAAUGGCGGUGCCAUUAGCAGGAAGGCAUUGGGAGGUGGUGCCAAAUGGAAGAGCACGGGGGCAUCCAAGAUAGGGCGAGAAUUUGUUCUUGGCAAACUCUACUUCAAAAGGGAUGGCGAAACAACGCGCAGGUCCAGAGAGCAAGGGUUCACUGCUUUCGAGUUUCACCUCCCGAUGAACCUCUCGCCCCGCCCCCGAGUCGCCAUCUGCGUGCUGCAUCCUACGGACUAUCACCAUACCGUUCGGGAUUUGAAGGAUUAUACCCAGAAGGGAUGCUUUCCAGGGAGAUAUCAGGCAAACCUGCAGGUGGUGCAACAUGUGCCACCAAUCAAUCAAGGCCCCUGUGUUGCUGGUACCGGAUUCAUGAAUAGUCCACAGGUUGAUUACACCAGUAAUCUACUAGCUUCUAACAGUGAGAGAGACAUUCUGGGAGCAAAUCAAGUGGACCAGAUGGCAGUGCAACAUGAGGGACAAUAUUUAGACUCCCAUGCUGGAUUUAUGAAUGGUCUACAUGUUGAUUACACCAUUAAUAACACUGAGAGUUCUGGAUACAAUCCUCCUGCCGGAAUACAGAUGGAUAUACCAUCCAACACUUAUCCUAUGAAUGACGACAUGUCUUAUAUGCCAUCGGAAAUUAAUAUGUUUGGUGGACAAUAUUCUCAUGUAGAUGCCAUGUCAAUCCAGAGCGACUAUUGCAAUACUUCGUUUUGGAAUGGUAGCAUGCCUGCUCCAAUCCAGGAUGCCACGACUAGUUACAGCCAGCCAUCGAUUCAUUCCUCUGCAUCUCUGGAUGAACGUUUUGAUCAGCUCCUAUUAUUGGAAAACAACUCAAUGCCCGAGCCUGGUGGACAAAAUUCGCAUGCUGAUGGGAUGUCAACCCAGAACUACUACUACUACAAUCCUUAUUGA